UUGAUAGGCCGGGUGUGUAAGCGCAGCGAUGCGUUGAGCUAACCGGUACUAAUGAACCGUGAGGCUUAACCUUACAACGCCGAAGC
Molecule: ribosomal RNA, 86 nt
Filed under: Escherichia coli
Lineage: Bacteria; Pseudomonadati; Pseudomonadota; Gammaproteobacteria; Enterobacterales; Enterobacteriaceae
Also listed under: 1 other name
Description: partial 23S ribosomal RNA
Rfam family: Bacterial large subunit ribosomal RNA (bases 1-73)
Source: RNAcentral